Molecule: ribosomal RNA, 492 nt
Filed under: uncultured bacterium
Lineage: Bacteria
Description: partial 16S ribosomal RNA
Rfam family: Bacterial small subunit ribosomal RNA
Source: RNAcentral
AGUGGACGCUGGCGGUAGGCCUAACACAUGCAAGUCGAACGGCAGCACAGUAAGAGCUUGCUCUUACGGGUGGCGAGUGGCGGACGGGUGGGGAAUACAUCGGAAUCUACUUUUUCGUGGGGGAUAACGUAGGGAAACUUACGCUAAUACCGCAUACGACCUACGGGUGAAAGCAGGGGAUCUUCGGACCUUGCGCGAUUGAAUGAGCCGAUGUCGGAUUAGCUAGUUGGCGGGGUAAAGGCCCACCAAGGCGACGCUCCGUAGCUGGUCUGAGAGGAUGAUCAGCCACACUGGAACUGAGACACGGUCCAGACUCCUACGGGAGGCAGCAGUGGGGAAUAUUGGACAAUGGGCGCAAGCCUGAUCCAGCCAUACCGCGUGGGUGAAGAAGGCCUUCGGGUUGUAAAGCCCUUUUGUUGGGAAAGAAAAGCAGCAGGUUAAUACCCCGCUGUUCUGACGGUACCCAAAGAAUAAGCACCGGCUAACUUCGUG